This 220-nucleotide ribosomal RNA is filed under the name uncultured fungus. Its description in RNAcentral is "partial 18S ribosomal RNA". The stretch from base 47 to 220 matches the Rfam family "Eukaryotic small subunit ribosomal RNA", at positions 693 to 869 of the family's 1831-position model. The record is from RNAcentral. Lineage: Eukaryota; Fungi.
GAAUCAGUAUGUUGGUCGUGCCUUUGGUAUGCACUGGCGUCACUGGUUUCUCCUUUCUGAAGAACCGUGAUGUCAUUAAUUUGGUGUUGCGGGGAAUCAGGACUGUUACUUUGAAAAAUUAGAGUGUUUAAAGCAGGCUCACGCUUGAAUACAUUAGCAUGGAAUAAUGAAAUAGGACGUUUGAUUCUAUUUUGUUGGUUUCUAGGAUCGACGUAAUGAU